Molecule: long non-coding RNA, 2194 nt
Organism: Siniperca chuatsi (mandarin fish)
Lineage: Eukaryota; Metazoa; Chordata; Actinopteri; Centrarchiformes; Sinipercidae
Exons: 2
Source: RefSeq, a predicted model, not a curated record
GGUAACACAAGAAAGGAAAGGGACAACAACAAUGAACAAUUAGAAUAACAGUUAACUAGUGCACUGACUCAUCAUUAAGAUAGUUUUGUUUUUUUAAAAGCUAUGCAAUCAACAAUGACAUUAUGAGGUAUAUUAUGUAGCUUUAACUUUUAGGUCUUGUUUUUUUCCAACACUAAUGAAUAGUACUCAAAUUCCUGAUAACAUUAACUUAAGAAAAUGAUGAAACUAACAAAUAGGUCAGAUGAGAAAGUAACAUUGAACUGUACAACAAGAGCUAGGAGGCUAUGGAAUUAUUUUAUUUUUAUCUUUAUUUAAGAGCAUGUUCUUUUAAUUUGAGCAUGAUUUAUUGAUUUCAGUUCAGAUUUUGUAAUGCUUUCCCUCAAAACCCUGUCCUCGCACUCAAAUAGCCCCUGCUUGCACUUAGAUUUGCUCUGUUUCUGCUCAAACUGUGUGCUUGCACUCAGAUAUGUUGUUGCUUGCACAGAUUUCCUGCGCUCCAGCUUCAGCCCUUCUCCUUGCUCAGGCUGCUUCUGUGUGCUCGCAAAACUUCUGCUCUCAGAUUUCUACUCUGCUCUCGGAUUUUUUGUGUCAAAACCAAUAGAAUGCCAGGUGUAGUGCUGACCAAUAAAAUGAUCCCUGCCUCGUUAUGGGUGUGUUCACUUUACUUCUUAGAGCGUCCCAUACGGGCAGUUGCUCUUUAACUGGGUUAAUCCGUCCCUCCACGUCUUUAUAUAUAUAUAUAUAUCAUAUAUAUAUAUACUUACUUACUUCUCUCCACUAACACGGAGGAGCGGGGUUUAUGAUCUAUACAGCAGCCAGCCACAAGGGGGCGAUCGAGAUGUGUUGGCUUCACAUUUGGGGAGCUGUCAUGUCGUCAGGUCUAUGAGCAAAUGCUGCAUUCAAGACAACUCGGAACUCGAAAAUUUCCGACAUACAAGAAAAAGUACAAUGGAACGCCACUUAAAGUCAGAGUUCCUACUUGUGAACUCGGGGCAAAUCUAUCUACCCCGACUUCAUUAAGAAGCACUUGUCUGACGUCACACAACAAUGGCAGCACCCAUGGAAGCUCACAUUAGGCUACACUGCUGAGAGUUCAAUUGUGUGUACACUUGCCAAAGAAACAUCAGUUUGUCACGGUCGGCCAUGUUUGUUUACGUUUGACGUCGUGCACCUGGAACGCUUUGAAGACGGCGGCGCCAUCUUGUGAGGAACGCGCUCUGUUGUUACCUGUGCCUGCUACGGUUGUUAACAGAGUUACCUGCUUACCCUUUGUUUUGUUUGGCUAAAAAGUUGGUUAAAUCGGUCAAAUCUGAUAGGUAAAUUUGAAGGUAAAAGAAAGAAAAGGGACCCUACCUGGAGAAAAAUUGAAAAAUCCCUAGAAGCUCAUUUAACAGGUUUUGCCAUUGCUGAGUGGAUGAUCUGCUAAUCGAAGCAAAGUCGGACACCGGCAAGAGCACAGUCAUGCUUGUAAAGGCCAACACAUGCCUGCCAGACUGACCCACCACAGUUACACUUGGUGUAUCCCAAUUCUCUUAUUGCAUCCACGUUUCCCUCACUUGCGUCUUUUCAUUGGGUCUUAGUCCCUCCCACCGGGGAUGCAUGGGAAACCGAGCGAGGAAACGAGGAAAUGUGUUUUAAGGGAAAUGAAACGUCCUUUCCUCUGAAGCGUCACAUGAAGGGACGUCCAUUUCCGAUGACGGCGGCAGCUGAUCACAUGCGGCUGGAUCAGCUAUCAGUCGACUUUAACAGCUGUAGAGACGUUUGAUGGAGUUUGUGUCUGCACACAUGUGCACUGUGCUAAUACUAAUAAAGGCACACAGUGCCAGAGCAGCAGCCUGUUAACUGUUUAACAAACACCUGCACAUGAAUUUCAAGCUGCAUUCUGUAUUUAUACUGUGACUAUGUCCUGCUCAGAGGCACAGGAAUGAUUGCUACUGGCAAAAUGCAUUUAUAUAAUUUAUUUAUUAUUUGCAUCUGUAUUUAUUGAUAUUCUGAUUGUGAAUUCAUUAUUGAAUAACCCAGAAUAUGAUUAUGGUGUCUUUUGAACAUUGGAAAUCUUUUAUUAGGCUGUUUCUUGCUGACAGACAGACUCUCCUACUCUCUCUGACUUUAAUUGUAUCCAUAAUAAAAGUUAAUGGGGGAAAUAAAUAACAGAUCAUGAAAAGGAAAAUCUUUCUAAUAAAUGAAAAAAGUU